Long non-coding RNA from Rhinolophus ferrumequinum (greater horseshoe bat), 1350 nucleotides. RefSeq lists it as uncharacterized. Lineage: Eukaryota; Metazoa; Chordata; Mammalia; Chiroptera; Rhinolophidae. The transcript is spliced from 5 exons. The record is from RefSeq and is a predicted model, not a curated record.
UUUGCUGAGUGUCACUGGGGUGGAGCUCGGCCCAGGGGCUGGGAGUUCAUGUUGGAUUGGGUUGAUGGUCCAGCAAACAGCUAGAGGCGGCAGUGCGUGGUGGAAAGUAACAACAAAGAGCCAACUAUCGCCACAUGCAACACCUUGGAUGGAUCUCCAAGCAGUUAUGCUGAGUGAAAAAAGCCGGUCUCAGAAGGUUACACACUGUAUGGUUUCGUUUAUGUGACAUUCUUGAAAUGCCAGCAUUAUGGAGACGAACAGAUGAGGAAACUGAAUUGGUGGCACCUGACUUGUUCCUUUUCCUGGAGUCGCAUGGUGAAUAAAUGGCAGAGCCAGGACACCUUCCCAAGCCUGUCAAACACCAAGGCCUCUCGUCUCGCCGCUGUGGUACCUGGGACUGCUGUGUCAGAGUCUGUGAGCAUCCGAGGGAGCUGGUGAAAAAAAGAGCGAGAGCGACAGAAAGAGAGAGAGAGAAGAAAAAUAAGGAGAAAAGAAAGUCAAAAGGAGUGGGUUGUUUCCUAAAGGAAAAUGCUGCUGUACUCAUAUAGGCAUCCGGCUGUCCUUGAAGGGGUUGGACGGAUGAAGCAGAAUCCCUAAGGCUGGUGUCCUAAGGGAGUGCCAGAACCAUGCAUUCAUUCGACAAAGACUUUUGGAGGCAGGCACGCUUCUUUGUGUUGGAGAAUCCAUACCUGAGAACAAGACAGCUCUCAUGGAGCUUCCCUUCUAGUGGAGAGAGGCUGGCACCAAACACGUGGCAAGGAGGGCAAGUUCAGAGAGUCGGAGGAGUUGUGAGGAGAAGAAAAUGAGGCUUUGAUGGAUUAAAUAACACGCCCAAGUUCAUGCAUUAAUAAUAGAGGACAAAGGCAGGAGUCAGUGCCAUACUUCUCUGGCACCAAAAAUUCACGCUCCUGACUCUGUGCAACACAAGCUCUCCUGCAUAGCUAGUCCUUUCAUCACAGCUGAAGGAGGACGUGGCCUUACCUUUGCAUAGCAUUUUAUACUCUUCCAGGCUAUUUCCAGCACGUCACCUCAUUUCACCUUGGGGCAUCAUUAUUUCCAGCUUCUCCUCCGAGGCCUGCCACGAACGCAAAGGAAAAUGGCAGGAGCGGAUCCUCUAGCAACGGAGCCAAUUAAGCGUCUUGCAAAUAUAGAGCAGUUAAAUCCCAUGACAUGAAGGACCAAGAAAAGCCUUGAGUUGGCCAUGACUAGAGCAGAACUUUGCGGGGCCGGAAUUUAAAUAGGAAAAGACCUUUCCUUUCUCCUAACGUGACCCGCAGAAAUUAGUUCCGGGCAGACUCCUCAGUGUUGAAAGAAUGUACCAGUGAGGAGCGCCUGUGUCCUUAGGUUCCU